Long non-coding RNA from Saccostrea cuccullata (small rock oyster), 315 nucleotides. RefSeq lists it as uncharacterized. The record is from RefSeq and is a predicted model, not a curated record. The transcript has 3 exons. NCBI's taxonomy places the organism in Eukaryota, Metazoa, Mollusca, Bivalvia, Ostreida, Ostreidae.
CUUAAAUGACGUAUUAAAACCAUCGAGCCAAACAGUUUUUUGUUAGCUUCAGUGUAAGUACAAAGUGUACCGAAUGUUAAUUUGAUCAGCUAAUUUUUAUCUGAGGAUUAUAUCUUUCAAACACAGUCCAGUUUACACUUUGUAAAGAUAUGUCAGAUCCAGAAAAAAGGAAGGGGGAGCCUAUCCCAUUAAAUUCAAUUAAAGAUGAAAAAAGUAGGGCAUUGGUGAAGGAUCCUUACAAACGGCAGAGAAAAACACAGCCACCUGAGGCGUCACACAAACGACAAAAAACAGAAACGGAGCAAGGAGAACCUG